UACGGAGGGUGCAAGCGUUAUCCGGAUUUACUGGGUUUAAAGGGUGUGUAGGCGGAUUAUAAAGUCAGCGGUGAAAUCUCCGAGCUCAACUCGGAAACUGCCAUUGAUACUAUUAGUCUCGAAUAUUGUUGAGGUGUGCGGAACGGGUCGUGUAGCGGUGAAAUGCAUAGAUAUGACCCGGAACACCGAUUGCGAAGGCAGCCCACUAAGCAAUGAUUGACGCUGAGGCACGAAAGCGUGGGGAUCAAACAGG
Molecule: ribosomal RNA, 253 nt
Filed under: uncultured bacterium
Lineage: Bacteria
Description: partial 16S ribosomal RNA
Rfam family: Bacterial small subunit ribosomal RNA
Source: RNAcentral